Long non-coding RNA from Lates calcarifer (barramundi perch), 967 nucleotides. RefSeq lists it as uncharacterized. The record is from RefSeq and is a predicted model, not a curated record. Lineage: Eukaryota; Metazoa; Chordata; Actinopteri; Centropomidae. The transcript is spliced from 5 exons.
GUAACAACAGCUGUUUUGUCUCCGCCGCAAGGCCGAGGAGCACUUAACCGCAAACCAGCUUGGAUUUGCGCAAUAAGUGCACCUGCUACCUCAGACAGGAGCAGCAACCCGUCCACUGUUUUAGAUAGUUUUCUCAUCAAAGUGCCCUAAAGACGAAAUGUUAUACUUAAUAAUUUAAAAUCCAAACGAGCCACAAUCGUGUUUUCCCCUUGCUGCAUUCAAUUCCUGUUGUCAGAAUGAAAGAAUGGGGAAACCACGUUAAAUGCAUUAUCCUAUUGUAAUUACUGAAUUGGUAACCAUGUUGUUUAGCAGAUUAAUAUAACUAAAUCAUGAAUUAGCAGUUUUGUCGUGUCCCCGUGUGGUUGCUGGCAAGCAACUGGUGGUGUAGGUCGCUUUACCACCGCUUCGUUGACACUUUUUCGUAGUUAUUUUUUAACGGCAGUGGUGUUCGUCAUAGUUUUCAUUAUAUUUGUCCGAAAAGACGUGAACGCAGCGUACAUUGAAGGGAAUCGGGCACCUGGCGGCCAUUCAGGAAAACGGAACGGUUAAGUUUGGGAUGCUUACCUGGUCUGGCAGAGGAGAUUGGUGCUACAACAGCUGCAAGCAGCAGGAGCAGUCCGGAUGGCCCACCACGGCGAGAAUCCAGCACACAGAAGUACCUCUUUUCUCAGGAUAAUCAGUAUGUCCCAGAGGAAUUUUGGUGAAGAAAAAGAUCUCACGACAGUUCUGGAGCUCCUCCUCUCCUCCAUGUUGGCAACUAGACGGCUGACUGCAGAGGAGUGACGGAGGGCUCAGGGGUCAAGGGGCAAACUCAACAGGGAGCAGCCUCUAACCCCCCCAGGAUGUCACCCCACAAGGGCUUCAGGGGCCAAAAGUCACUUGUGGUGACUCGGUACCUGGCUGAGCCCCUUGUGGCUGGAUGCAGACUGAAGCUAGGCUGAAGAGGGAGAAGAUGAUGAAGGCAACG